GCUUAGGGUGCCAACAUCGUUUGCUAACUUCUUAAUCACAAAGUUCUUUGUUUUUCCAUUCCUAUGUUCCAAACGGCUUCUUAUAAAUUUUUCCUGUGUUUUUUAUUUCUUUGUUUUGUAUGUGCAAUCCAUUCCAAUUCUUAUGUUUCUUCGUAUUCCUAUAUUUUGCAAUCCUGCGUUUCAAACGGGGCCUUACCGUUAAUUAGAGUCAACAAACAUAUCAAAUCAACCUCUUUGUUUUCGUUUGGGUUACCGGGCUAGCCAAGAUGCUGUAGAAAAAACAGCCCCUCACAUCUGAGGUCAUCACAUCACCUGCA
RNAcentral lists this long non-coding RNA (317 nucleotides) under Brachypodium distachyon (stiff brome). RNAcentral's name for it is "long non-coding RNA (BDIS_LNC000077)". The record is from RNAcentral. Lineage: Eukaryota; Viridiplantae; Streptophyta; Magnoliopsida; Poales; Poaceae.